CUGGUUGAUCCUGCCGGCGGCCACCGCUAUUGGAAUACGAUUAAGACAUGCAAGUCGAGAGUCUUCGGGACUCGGCAGACCGCUCAGUAACACGUGGACAACAUGCCCUUGGGAGGGGGAUAACCUCGGGAAACUGAGAAUAAUACCCCAUAGGUCCAGAAUGCUGGAACGCUUCUGGGCCGAAAGCUCCGGCGCCCAAGGAUUGGUCUGCGGCCUAUCAGGUUGUAGUGGGUGUAAAGGACCCACUAGCCUAUGACGGGUAUGGGCCUUGAAAGAGGGAGCCCAGAGAUGGACUCUGAGACAUGAGUCCAGGCCCUACGGGGUGCAGCAGUCGCGAAAACUUCACAAUGGGAGCAAUCCCGAUGAGGGAAUUCCAAGUGCCAGCACUUAGUGUUGGCUGUUCUCCUGUCUAAAAAACAGGAGAAGUGAGGGCCGGGUAAGACGGGUGCCAGCCGCCGCGGUAAUACCCGCGGCCCGAGUGGUGGUCGAUAUUAUUGAGCCUAAAACGUCCGUAGCCGGUCUCGUAAAUCCUUGGGUAAAUCGGCCAGCUUAACUGUCCGAACUCCGGGGAGACUGCGAGGCUUGGGACCGGGAGAGGUCAGAGGUACUUCCAGGGUAGGGGUAAAAUCCUGUAAUCCUAGAAGGACCACCGGUGGCGAAGGCGUCUGACUAGAACGGAUCCGACGGUGAGGGACGAAGCCCUGGGGCGCAAACGGGAUUAGAUACCCCGGUAGUCCAGGGUGUAAACGCUGCGGGCUUGGUGUUGGGGGUCCUUUGUGGGCGCCCAGUGCCGGAGAGAAGUUGUUAAGCCUGCUGCUUGGGGAGUACGUCCGCAAGGAUGAAACUUAAAGGAAUUGGCGGGGGAGCACCGCAACGGGAGGAGCGUGCGGUUCAAUUGGAGUCAACGCCGGG
Molecule: ribosomal RNA, 912 nt
Filed under: uncultured archaeon
Lineage: Archaea
Description: bacterial SSU rRNA
Rfam family: Archaeal small subunit ribosomal RNA
Source: RNAcentral